This 140-nucleotide microRNA precursor is filed under the name Gossypium arboreum. RNAcentral's name for it is "MIR7502 microRNA precursor family". It matches the Rfam family "MIR7502 microRNA precursor family". Lineage: Eukaryota; Viridiplantae; Streptophyta; Magnoliopsida; Malvales; Malvaceae. The record is from Rfam by way of RNAcentral.
UAUUAAAAUUUCAUCUAUUUCUUAUGUUAAAAAUCGAAAUAGCUGAUAAAAUAAUCAAAUAGUGACAUGUAAUGUGCCACGUGCAUCUUAUGCUGACAUACAAGGACCCAUUUGUAAUAGAAUAGAUGAAAAUUUUAAUA